CUGCUGCCUCCCGUAGGAGUCUGGACCGUGUCUCAGCUCCAGUGUGGGGGGCCUUCCUCUCAGAACCCCUACGCAUCGUCGCCACGGUGGGCCGUUACCCCGCCGUCAAGCUAAUGCGCCGCAUGCCCAGCCGCCACCGGAUUCCUCCUUUCGCCCGGUCCGGAUGCCCGGUCCGGGCGGCAUGGGGUAUUAGGCCGGGUUUCCCCGGGUUAUCCCCCUGUGGCGGGCAGGUUCCAUACGUGUUACUCACCCGUGCGCCGGUCGCCGGCAGGUGCA
Molecule: ribosomal RNA, 276 nt
Filed under: uncultured bacterium
Lineage: Bacteria
Description: partial 16S ribosomal RNA
Source: RNAcentral